Molecule: ribosomal RNA, 876 nt
Filed under: uncultured Ralstonia sp.
Lineage: Bacteria; Pseudomonadati; Pseudomonadota; Betaproteobacteria; Burkholderiales; Burkholderiaceae
Description: bacterial SSU rRNA
Rfam family: Bacterial small subunit ribosomal RNA
Source: RNAcentral
GAGUUUGAUCCUGGCUCAGAUUGAACGCUGGCGGCAUGCCUUACACGUGCAAGUCGAACGGCAGCAUGAUCUAGCUUGCUAGAUUGAUGGCGAGUGGCGAACGGGUGAGUAAUACAUCGGAACGUGCCCUGUAGUGGGGGAUAACUAGUCGAAAGAUUAGCUAAUACCGCAUACGACCUGAGGGUGAAAGUGGGGGACCGCAAGGCCUCAUGCUAUAGGAGCGGCCGAUGUCUGAUUAGCUAGUUGGUGGGGUAAAGGCCCACCAAGGCGACGAUCAGUAGCUGGUCUGAGAGGACGAUCAGCCACACUGGGACUGAGACACGGCCCAGACUCCUACGGGAGGCAGCAGUGGGGAAUUUUGGACAAUGGGCGAAAGCCUGAUCCAGCAAUGCCGCGUGUGUGAAGAAGGCCUUCGGGUUGUAAAGCACUUUUGUCCAGAAAGAAAUGGCUCUGGUUAAUACCUGGGGUCGAUGACGGUACCGGAAGAAUAAGGACCGGCUAACUACGUGCCAGCAGCCGCGGUAAUACGUAGGGUCCAAGCGUUAAUCGGAAUUACUGGGCGUAAAGCGUGCGCAGGCGGUUGUGCAAGACCGAUGUGAAAUCCCCGAGCUUAACUUGGGAAUUGCAUUGGUGACUGCACGGCUAGAGUGUGUCAGGGGGGGGUAGAAUUCCACGUGUAGCAGUGAAAUGCGUAGAGAUGUGGAGGAAUACCGAUGGCGAAGCAGCCCCCUGGGAUAACACUGACGCUCAUGCACGAAAGCGUGGGGAGCAAACAGGAUUAGAUACCCUGGUAGUCCACGCCCUAAACGAUGUCAACUAGUUGUUGGGGAUUCAUUUCCUUAGUAACGUAGCUAACGCGUGAAGUUGACCGCCUGG